Molecule: transfer RNA, 76 nt
Filed under: Chloroflexota bacterium
Lineage: Bacteria; Bacillati; Chloroflexota
Also listed under: 4 other names
Description: tRNA-Thr
Rfam family: tRNA
About the family: Transfer RNA (tRNA) molecules are approximately 80 nucleotides in length. Their secondary structure includes four short double-helical elements and three loops (D, anti-codon, and T loops). Further hydrogen bonds mediate the characteristic L-shaped molecular structure. tRNAs have two regions of fundamental functional importance: the anti-codon, which is responsible for specific mRNA codon recognition, and the 3' end, to which the tRNAs corresponding amino acid is attached (by aminoacyl-tRNA synthetases). tRNAs cope with the degeneracy of the genetic code in two manners: having more than one tRNA (with a specific anti-codon) for a particular amino acid; and 'wobble' base-pairing, i.e. permitting non-standard base-pairing at the 3rd anti-codon position.
Source: RNAcentral
GCCGACGUAGCUCAAUUGGUAGAGCAGCUGUUUUGUAAACAGCAGGUUCCGGGUUCGAGUCCCGUCGUCGGCUCCA